AGAGUUUGAUCCUGGCUCAGGACGAACGCUGGCGGCGUGCCUAAUACAUGCAAGUAGAACGCUGAAGGAGGAGCUUGCUUCUCUGGAUGAGUUGCGAACGGGUGAGUGACGCGUAGGUAACCUGCCUGGUAGCGGGGGAUAACUAUUGGAAACGAUAGCUAAUACCGCAUAAUAGUAGAUGUUGCAUGACAUUUGCUUAAAAGGUGCAAUUGCAUCACUACCAGAUGGACCUGCGUUGUAUUAGCUAGUAGGUGAGGUAACGGCUCACCUAGGCGACGAUACAUAGCCGACCUGAGAGGGUGAUCGGCCACACUGGGACUGAGACACGGCCCAGACUCCUACGGGAGGCAGCAGUAGGGAAUCUUCGGCAAUGGACGAAAGUCUGACCGAGCAACGCCGCGUGAGUGAAGAAGGUUUUCGGAUCGUAAAGCUCUGUUGUAAGAGAAGAACGGGUGUGAGAGUGGAAAGUUCACACUGUGACGGUAUCUUACCAGAAAGGGACGGCUAACUACGUGCCAGCAGCCGCGGUAAUACGUAGGUCCCGAGCGUUGUCCGGAUUUAUUGGGCGUAAAGCGAGCGCAGGCGGUUAGAUAAGUCUGAAGUUAAAGGCUGUGGCUUAACCAUAGUACGCUUUGGAAACUGUUUAACUUGAGUGCAGAAGGGGAGAGUGGAAUUCCAUGUGUAGCGGUGAAAUGCGUAGAUAUAUGGAGGAACACCGGUGGCGAAAGCGGCUCUCUGGUCUGUAACUGACGCUGAGGUUCGAAAGCGUGGGGAGCGAACAGAAUUAGAUACCCUGGUAGUC
Molecule: ribosomal RNA, 802 nt
Filed under: uncultured bacterium
Lineage: Bacteria
Description: bacterial SSU rRNA
Rfam family: Bacterial small subunit ribosomal RNA
Source: RNAcentral